This 98-nucleotide non-coding RNA is filed under the name unclassified sequences. Its description in RNAcentral is "DUF3800-V RNA". It matches the Rfam family "DUF3800-V RNA". The record is from Rfam by way of RNAcentral.
AGAAGCAUGCAAUAAUAGCUUAUAGAAUGCCUUGGUGUUCCCCCAGAGAAUCUGGGAUGUAAAAGCCUUGGAAAACCAUUCUAUGAGACGCUACUUCU